GAGUAAAGAAGAGAGAGAAAGAAGAAGAAAGGAAAAGAGGAAGAAGAAGAAGAAAGAAGAAGGAAAAUUGAUCGUAAAGCUUCACCGGAGCUAGGUCUUAGUAUUUUGAGCCCGGAUUUAUGAUCAGUUCAUCGAAGUCUUCGAUUUGAGGUAGGUAUUGCACAAAUUCUAAGGAUUCUUAGGAAAAUCCCAUUUUUAAACCCUCUUUUUGGUUUUUGGGAAAGAACCCCCAUGGAUCUUGCUAAUCCUACCUGAAUAAUUAAACCUAAGGUCUAAUGGAAGGUCUGUAUAAAGAUUUUAGAAGAUUUGGAAGGAGUGUUGAUGAAGAUCUAUAUUAUUUUGAGGCUCUUGAACAAAAGAAGUAAAAUUUGGGGUUCUAUUAGUGUUCUUGAGAAAGAGGUUACACUAAAUAUACGCGUACCCACACAUCGGAUCUUUUUUGUAUUGGGUACAAGCACCAUGUAUAUAUACAGGUGAUUUUACAGGUUACCCGCCUGGUGAUCAGGAGCUGGGGCCCACCUUGGAGUUUCCAUCUGAGGACUGGUGGGUCCCUGACGAGUUUGAGCACGGUGCCGAUUGCACGUGCGAGGAUUGUGCUGCGUAGCAAUUGUGACUUCUGAGUGAUUCUUUUGAUUCUUUUUUAUGUAUUCCCUUUUUGUUACUUGACGCUUAAAUUGUUAUAUGUUUGUAUAUAUAUCGUGCCUUCGGCCCCAAAUGUAUGUAACCUUUAUAACUAAAUUUGGGUAUCAAGUACUUGGGAAACAAUUA
This is a long non-coding RNA of Macadamia integrifolia, 768 nucleotides long. RefSeq lists it as uncharacterized. The record is from RefSeq and is a predicted model, not a curated record. The transcript is spliced from 3 exons. Lineage: Eukaryota; Viridiplantae; Streptophyta; Magnoliopsida; Proteales; Proteaceae.